GAUGAACGCUGGCGGCGUGCCUAAUACAUGCAAGUCGAGCGGUAAGGCCCCUUCGGGGGUACACGAGCGGCGGACGGCUGAGUAACGCGUAGGAAUAUACCCUAAAGUGAGGAAUAACUGCCCGAAAGGGUGGCUAAUGCCGCAUAUGAUCUUCGGAUUAAAGCUUUACAGCGCUUUGGGAAUAGCCUGCGUUCGAUUAGCUUGUUGGUGAGGUAAUGGCUCACCAAGGCGACGAUCGAUAGCUGGUCUGAGAGGAUGAUCAGCCAGACUGGAACUGAGACACGGUCCAGACUCCUACGGGAGGCUG
This 307-nucleotide ribosomal RNA is filed under the name uncultured Candidatus Saccharibacteria bacterium. RNAcentral describes it as "bacterial SSU rRNA". It matches the Rfam family "Bacterial small subunit ribosomal RNA", at positions 28 to 351 of the family's 1533-position model. Lineage: Bacteria; Candidatus Saccharimonadota. The record is from RNAcentral.